GGGUGGAAUCUGUAAAGUAGUAUUUAUUAUUAAAGUUUUAUAAAUGUCUUGAAUCUAGAGAGGUUAAGGAAUAAAAUAGGAUUAGAUACCCUAUUAUACUUUAUUUUAAAAACAUACUUGGGUAGUAAUCAGUUAUUGUCUUGAAACUUAAAAGAUUUGGCGGUGCUUUAGUCUAGUUAGAGGAACCUGUGGUGUAAACGAUAAACCACGCAGUAUCUUACUUUUUUUCAUUUAAUUUGUAUACCUCCAUUAUUAGAUAAAUUCUUAAGGAUUUAUUAAAAUAAUUUUUAUUAGUAUAUUAGGUCAAGGUGCAGUAGAUAAAAAAGUAUACAUGGGUUACAUUGUUAUUAUUAUCGGAUAUUUUUUCGAAGAGGGAGUAUGAAGUUGGAUUUAAAAGUAAAAUGAUUUUAAUAAGAUUAUUAGAUGUUAGCUCUAAAGUGUGUA
RNAcentral lists this ribosomal RNA (444 nucleotides) under Chlorotocella gracilis. RNAcentral describes it as "12S ribosomal RNA". Lineage: Eukaryota; Metazoa; Arthropoda; Malacostraca; Decapoda; Pandalidae. The record is from RNAcentral.